This 3107-nucleotide ribosomal RNA is filed under the name Betaproteobacteria bacterium. Its description in RNAcentral is "23S ribosomal RNA". It matches the Rfam family "Bacterial large subunit ribosomal RNA". The record is from RNAcentral. Lineage: Bacteria; Pseudomonadati; Pseudomonadota; Betaproteobacteria.
GGUCAAGCGAAUAAGUGCAUGCGGUGGAUGCCUUGGCGAUAACAGGCGAUGAAGGACGCGACAGCCUGCGAUAAGCUGCGGGGAGCCGGCAAAUGGGCGCUGAUCCGCAGAUUUCCGAAUGGGGAAACCCGGCCCGCAAGGGUCACCGGCACCUGAAUCCAUAGGGUGCCAGGAGCGAACCCGGAGAACUGAAACAUCUCAGUAACCGGAGGAACAGAAAUCAACCGAGAUUCCCAAAGUAGUGGCGAGCGAAAUGGGACCAGCCGUCGAGUUUUAGCACGCGCGUUAGCGAAAGGGUCUGGAAAGGCCGGCCGCAGAGGGUGAUAGCCCCGUACGCGAAAACGCGAGUGUGGAACUGAGCUCGAGACAAGUAGGGCGGGACACGUGAAAUCCUGUCUGAAGAUGGGGGGACCAUCCUCCAAGGCUAAAUACUCGUUAUCGACCGAUAGUGAACCAGUACCGUGAGGGAAAGGUGAAAAGAACCCCGGGAGGGGAGUGAAAUAGAACCUGAAACCGCGUGCCUACAAACAGUCGGAGCCCCGCAAGGGGUGACGGCGUACCUUUGUAUAAUGGGUCAGCGACUUACGUUCAGUUGCGAGCUUAAGGCUUGGUGCCGGAGGCGCAGCGAAAGCGAGUCUGAACAGGGCGUUCAGUAGCUGGGCGUAGACCCGAAACCGGUUGAUCUAUCCAUGGCCAGGCUUGAAGGUGGGGUAACACCUACUGGAGGGCCGAACCCACGCCCGUUGAAAAGGUCGGGGAUGAGCUGUGGAUAGGGGUGAAAGGCUAAACAAAACCGGAGAUAGCUGGUUCUCCUCGAAAACUAUUGAGGUAGUGCGUCGCGUAUUACCUUCGGGGGUAGAGCACUGUUAUGGCUAGGGGGCCGCUAUAGGCUUACCAAACCAUGGCAAACUCCGAAUACCGAAGAGUAGAGCGUGGCAGACAGUCCCCGGGUGCUAACGUCCGGGGUCAAGAGGGAAACAACCCAGACCGCCAGCUAAGGUCCCCAAUAUUGGCUAAGUGGAAAACGAGGUGGGAAGGCACAGACAGUCAGGAGGUUGGCUUAGAAGCAGCCAUCCUUUAAAGAAAGCGUAAUAGCUCACUGAUCAAGUCGUCCUGCGCGGAAGAUGUAACGGGGCUCAAGCCAAUAACCGAAGCUGCGGGUCGUCAGCGAUCCACUUGAUUGCGUUCCAAGGAGCCGCCACCGAAUGAGGUGAGCGAGCCUCCGACCUUCGAAGCAAAGUCCAACGAGAGCCGGGCCAUGUCCUCGCCGUGAAACUGCGGUGAUGGGCUCGCUCGCCUCAAUUGGGCGGUUUGACGCCUUGUUGUCUCGCGUGGCGAGACAUCAACGCGUCAACCUUGUGCUUCGAGGGGGCAGCGCAAUCAAGGGAUCGCUGACGGCGGUAGAGGAGCGUUCCCUACGCCUGUGAAGGUGUGUCGAGAGGCAUGCUGGAGGUAUGGGAAGUGCGAAUGCUGACAUGAGUAGCGAUAAAGGGAGUGAAAAGCUCCCUCGCCGAAAGCCAAGGUUUCCUGCGCAACGUUCAUCGGCGCAGGGUGAGUCGGCCCCUAAGGUGAGGCAGAGAUGCGUAGCUGAUGGGAAUCCGGUCAAUAUUCCGGAACCGCCGGCGGGUGCGAUGUGGGGACGGAGAAGGUUAUGCAGACCAGGUGUUGGACGUCCUGGUGAAGCGUGUAGGUGGAUCCCCUAGGGAAAUCCGGGGGGUCAACACUGAGGCGCGGGACCAGGGAAGCUUUGCUUCCCGAAGCUGCAGAUACCAUGCUUCCAGGAAAAGCCACUAAGCUUCAGCCCGUCGGGACCGUACCGCAAACCGACACAGGUGGGCAGGAUGAAAAUUCUCAGGCGCUUGAGAGAACUCAGGAGAAGGAACUCGGCAAAUUGACACCGUAACUUCGGGAGAAGGUGUGCCUUUGGUAGGUGAAGCGGCUUGCCCGCGUAAGCCGAAGAAGGCCGCAGAGAAUCGGUGGCUGCGACUGUUUAUCAAAAACACAGCACUCUGCUAAGACGUUGGAAGUCGACGUAUAGGGUGUGACGCCUGCCCGGUGCCGGAAGGUUAAGUGAUGGGGUGCAAGCUCUUGAUCGAAGCCCCGGUAAACGGCGGCCGUAACUAUAACGGUCCUAAGGUAGCGAAAUUCCUUGUCGGGUAAGUUCCGACCCGCACGAAUGGCGUAACGAUGGCCACACUGUCUCCUCCUGAGACUCAGCGAAGUUGAAAUGUUUGUGAAGAUGCAAUCUACCCGCGGCUAGACGGAAAGACCCCAUGAACCUUUACUGUAGCUUUGCAUUGGACUGUGACGCUGUCUGUGUAGGAUAGCUGGGAGCCUUUGAAGCCGGGAUGCUAGUUCCGGUGGAGGCGACGUUGAAAUACCAGCCUGAUAGCGUUGCGGUUCUAACCUGGGCCUUGACGGGGUCGGGGACCGUGCAUGGUAGGCAGUUUGACUGGGGCGGUCUCCUCCCAAAGAGUAACGGAGGAGUGCGAAGGUCACCUAGGUACGGUCGGAAAUCGUACUCAUAGUGCAAUGGCAUAAGGUGGCUUGACUGCGAGACAGACAAGUCGAGCAGGUGCGAAAGCAGGUCAUAGUGAUCCGGUGGUUCUGUAUGGAAGGGCCAUCGCUCAACGGAUAAAAGGUACUCUGGGGAUAACAGGCUGAUUCCUCCCAAGAGUUCAUAUCGACGGGGAGUUUGGCACCUCGAUGUCGGCUCAUCACAUCCUGGGGCUGUAGCCGGUCCCAAGGGUAUGGCUGUUCGCCAUUUAAAGUGGUACGUGAGCUGGGUUCAAAACGUCGUGAGACAGUUUGGUCCCUAUCUGCCGUGGGCGUUGGAGAUUUGACGGGGGCUGCUCCUAGUACGAGAGGACCGGAGUGGACGCAUCCCUGGUGUACCGGUUGUGACGCCAGUCGCAUUGCCGGGUAGCUAUAUGCGGAAGAGAUAACCGCUGAAAGCAUCUAAGCGGGAAACUUGCCUGAAGAUGAGAUCUCCCGGAGGCUUGACCUCCCUGAAGGGUCGUCCGAGACCAGGACGUUGAUAGGCCGGGUGUGCAAGGCGGGCAACCGCUUGAGCUAACCGGUACUAAUUGCCCGUGCGGCUUGACUCU